GAAACUCCUCACGCCCGUGAGGUGGAACAGGUGUAAUGGGGGACACCUGUUCAUAAAAAAAGCGGCC
Molecule: non-coding RNA, 67 nt
Filed under: Pelodictyon luteolum DSM 273
Lineage: Bacteria; Pseudomonadati; Chlorobiota; Chlorobiia; Chlorobiales; Chlorobiaceae
Description: Chlorobium luteolum DSM 273 Chlorobi-1 RNA
Rfam family: Chlorobi-1 RNA
Source: Rfam by way of RNAcentral